This 680-nucleotide ribosomal RNA is filed under the name uncultured organism. RNAcentral describes it as "bacterial SSU rRNA". It matches the Rfam family "Bacterial small subunit ribosomal RNA", at positions 191 to 871 of the family's 1533-position model. The record is from RNAcentral.
AGGUGUAUGGUCAAAGAUUUAUCGGCACGGGAGCUGGCUGUCUGCCAUCAAGUAUGUUGGUGAGGUAACGCGUCACCAAGGCAGCGACGGGUAGCGGGACUGAGAGGUUGAUCGCGCAACAUCGGGACUGAGACACUGCCCGGACCUCCACGGAGGGCUGCAGUAACGAAUAUUGCGCAAUGGGCGAAAGCCUGACGCAGCGACGCCGCGGUGUAGGAUGAAGUCCCUCGUGAUGUAAACUACUGUCAUGGGUUAGAAAGUCCGGUUCGCCGGAUUGAUCGGACCCAGAGGAAGUCACGGCUAACUUCGUGCCAGCAGUCGCGGGAAUACGAACGUGGCUAGCGUUGUUCGGUGUCACUGGGCUUAAAGCGUGUGUAGGCGGACAAGAAAACGUUUUGCGAAAACCCCCGGGUUAACCGGGGAACUGCAAGACGAACUGCUUUUCUUGAGGCAAGCAGGGUUGCGUGGAACUCUUGGUGGAGCGGUGGAAUGCGUACAUAUCAAGAGUGAACGCCGUGUGGUGAAGACGACGCACUGGGCUUGUCCUGACGCUCAGACACGAAAGCGUGGGGAGCGAACGGGAUUAGAUACCCCGGUAGUCCACGCCGUAAACGAUUGUCUACUAGGUUGUGGGAGUCCUGACACUUUCACGGUCCGAAGCAAAAGUGCUAAGUAGACCG